CCUUCAACUCCGCGGGGCAGGAGUUAGUUAGCAAAGAGCAGAGGCUGGGCGCGCGACCCUGGUCCUUCUGCCCACGGCCUCAAGCUUUGCUCACAUCUCUCUCUGCAUGGUGGAUAUUAUUUUUCAUUAUCCUUUUCUGGGUGCUAUGGGGGAUCACUCCAAGAAGAAGCCCGGGACGGCCAUGUGCGUGGGCUGCGGGAGUCAGAUCCACGACCAGUUUAUCCUUCGGGUGUCGCCCGACCUCGAGUGGCACGCCGCCUGCCUCAAGUGCGCAGAGUGCAGCCAGUACCUGGACGAGACGUGCACGUGCUUCGUGAGAGACGGGAAAACCUACUGCAAGCGGGACUACGUGAGGCUGUUCGGCAUCAAGUGUGCCCAGUGCCAGGUGGGCUUCAGCAGCAGCGACCUGGUGAUGCGGGCGCGGGACAGCGUGUACCACAUCGAGUGCUUCCGCUGCUCCGUGUGCAGCCGCCAGCUGCUCCCUGGAGACGAGUUCUCGCUACGGGAGCACGAGCUGCUCUGCCGAGCCGACCACGGCCUCCUGCUGGAGCGCGCUGCGGCCGGCAGCCCGCGCAGUCCCGGCCCGCUCCCCGGCGCCCGCGGCGGCCUGCAUCUGCCAGACGCCGGGUCCGGACGACAGCCCUCGCUGCGCACGCACGUGCACAAGCAGGCGGAGAAGACAACCCGGGUGCGGACUGUGCUCAACGAAAAGCAACUGCACACCCUGCGGACGUGCUACGCCGCCAACCCGCGGCCCGACGCGCUCAUGAAGGAGCAGCUGGUAGAGAUGACCGGCUUGAGCCCGCGGGUCAUCCGCGUGUGGUUUCAGAACAAGCGUUGCAAGGACAAGAAGAAGUCGAUUCUCAUGAAGCAGCUACAGCAGCAGCAACACAGCGACAAGGCGAGCCUCCAGGGACUGACUGGGACGCCUCUGGUGGCAGGCAGCCCCAUCCGCCAUGAGAACGCGGUGCAGGGCAGCGCAGUCGAGGUGCAGACGUACCAGCCGCCCUGGAAAGCACUCAGCGAGUUCGCACUCCAGAGCGACCUGGACCAACCCGCCUUUCAACAGCUGGUAUCCUUCUCGGAGUCAGGCUCCCUAGGCAACUCCUCCGGUAGCGAUGUGACCUCUCUGUCCUCGCAGCUCCCGGACACCCCCAACAGUAUGGUACCUAGUCCGGUGGAGACGUGAGCGAGGACCCCUCCCUGCCAGCCCGCGGACCUCGCAUGCUCCCUGCAUGAGACUCACCCAUGCUCAGGCCAUUCCAGCUCCGAACAAUCUCCGGCCCUUGUAAUUAUUGUUGUUAUUUAAAGCGAGCGGACAGAGGCACGCGACAGCGACGGGAUGGCGGCCAGCAGCGCGAGGACACGGCCUGCCCUGCUGAGACUGGAGACUCCUGCUCCAAGGACUUUUCUGUUUUUUUUUUUUCCCCUCAUAACUAGAAUUUGGGACAUUCUGGGUUAGCUCCGCCCUUGCCUCUCCCUCGCUGCGUGGGGUGCCACUGUCUCUCUGCACCCCGCUCGCUCGGGAACCCAUCCGGUGGGGUCCUACAGGGCCCUACCGGCCAGGACGCCUGCUCCGAACUCGCCUGCGCUGACCCGAGGCUUUGCUCUGGACCUGGCGGCAAGGACGGGACAAUUCCAAGAAACAGAUCCCCAAAGCGCAUGGCUGCCGGACAGAGUUAGAAACCAGACUGUCUUUUUAAAAGUGUUUUAAAUUAUCUGUCGACGGAGGACAGUGAGAGCCUUUGCCGAACAAACAUGCUGAGCUGGGCUCCAAUAUCACCAAGAGGAGUCUGGUCAGAUGAUUAGUGGAUAAGGUGUUUGUCAUCAAUCCUGAUAACCUGAGUUUGAUCCCUGGAACCCAGAUGGGAAGGAAACACGGUGAAAAGAAAGAAUCAACUUGUAUACUUCUAAGAUGGAGUUAACUGCAGGAGCCUUACAGACUAUAUAGGAGGUAGCCUUUGAGCAGCAGCCUUCUUGGUGGUCUGGAUUCACUGCUGUGUAGCAGCAGUAGAGAAUCCAGGAAGGAGGAAGAGAAGGGGAAAAAUAAGAGAGGAAGUCAGAGUUGAGAGAAACAAAACUUACAAUAGUUGGGGACUUGGCCUCUCCUACAUACUGGAAACCAGGUGAGCCUAGAGACAGGGUCUUCUCAAGUAGUGAGAGGCAGGCAAGUGGCUGUCUCUCUGUGUUCCAGUGGGAAAACGGACAAGGCCUAAAUUAGCUUCCUGAGAGAGAUCCUCUAUCUGCUGCAGAGCAAAAGGAGAGGGCCAUUGGGCAGACUCUCUCCUCUUCUGCAGGGGAGAAUAAUGACUCACAGCUAUUGGUACCAACUCCUGGAUGCUGGGCAUCCAGUGUGGAGGUCUGACAACUACCUACCCAUCUACCCAUUCUCCAACUACUAGAGUGUAAGCCAUGUCUUAGCACGUCAUCCACAUGCUAAGUAGUAUUAGGCUCCUCAAUCUUCCAGUCCUUGGUCACCACAUAGGUCCUUCAUGACCUCGGCUUAUCUCUUGUGCCUGCUCAAAUGCUAAGUUUUAGCCAUAAUGAACAGCAUGCAGUUCCCUGUACCUGUUAGGCUAUUUUGUACCUCAGUACCUUUGCUUAUGCUCACUAUGCAUAUUCCUAUCAUGUGACCAGUAACCUCUAUCUUACUUUAUAUACCAGCACAAGCAUUGUUUCCAUUGUAGAGUAUCUCCAUCAUAGACCUCAGUUGUUUUUCUUUUUCUGUUUGAGUUUCACUCUUCAGAAUGUCAGCAAUAUUAGGGCAAAGAUUUGGUCUAUUUUAUUUCCUACUAUCCUGUGUGUCUACAAAAUUCCCCUGUCUGUGGACUCCUCAAAAACUGUGUGGACUGCAGGUUUUUCUAAAUCUCUUAGCACAUGUUUUGAAACAGAGUGGGCAUUUAGUAAAAGCUGAUAAAUGAGAAGAAAUGACUGGUAAAUGUUUAAAGGGCCACAAAAUUCACAAUAUUGGCAUUUCCCCAAGAAUAAAUCUAGUGUUCUGUUGCA
This is an RNA transcript of Mastomys coucha (southern multimammate mouse), 3006 nucleotides long. It is a transcript of the gene named ISL LIM homeobox 2, with no coding region annotated. The transcript has 8 exons. Lineage: Eukaryota; Metazoa; Chordata; Mammalia; Rodentia; Muridae. The record is from RefSeq and is a predicted model, not a curated record.